AGGAGAGGGCGGAGCUGGCCGCGGGACGGAGGCACCUGGAGGCCCGCCAGGCGCUCUACGCCGAGCUCCAGACGCAGCUCGAUAACUGCCCCGAGUCAGUGCGGGAACAGUUACAGGAGCAGCUGAGAAGGGAGGCAGACGCUCUAGAGACUGAGACAAAGCUCUUUGAGGACCUGGAGUUCCAGCAGCUGGAGCGGGAGAGUCGCGUGGAGGAGGAGCGGGAGUUGGCCGGCCAAGGGCUGCUUCGCAGCAAGGCUGAGUUGCUGCGCAGCGUGAGCAAGAGAAAGGAGCGCCUAGCUGUACUGGACAGUCAGGCUGGGCAGAUCCGGGCCCAAGCAGUACAGGAGUCAGAGCGUCUGGCCCGGGAAAAGAAUGCUGUCC
This 381-nucleotide long non-coding RNA is filed under the name Rattus norvegicus (Norway rat). Its description in RNAcentral is "long non-coding RNA NONRATT028485". Lineage: Eukaryota; Metazoa; Chordata; Mammalia; Rodentia; Muridae. The record is from RNAcentral.